GUCUCCGUGGCGCAAUUGGUUAGCGCGUCUGACUGUUAAGUGCUUAGUUAGUGCUUCGUUAUCAGGAGGUUGGCAGUUCGAGCCUGCCCGGGGACG
This is a non-coding RNA of Ascosphaera atra, 96 nucleotides long. Lineage: Eukaryota; Fungi; Ascomycota; Eurotiomycetes; Onygenales; Ascosphaeraceae. The record is from the annotation of a GenBank genome assembly.